ACCCAGCCUUUAUGCACCCUUGUUCUCUCGACCCUCGCCUCUCGUCGAAGACGCGUGCGUCUGGAUAUUCCUGCCCAUUCCAUAACAUGGCCUCCGACCUGAAAGUAGUGUCGAUCCAGGAAGAUAGAUUUUCUGACGUGAUCGUCCACCUGAGAAAAAAUUUCUUCUCUGACGAGCCUCUCAACAAGGCAGUGAAACUUUGCAAACGUGGUGAACCUCACGCAGCCCUGGAGCGACACAGUUUGGCUACCCUCCAGCAGGGUUUCUCGCGGAUGGCUGUCACCGAUUCAGGGGUGAUCGCAGGAGUUGCUCUGAAUGGUACGGUAAAGAAAAGUGAACGAGAGAAGGCGGAAUCGCGUCUCCUGGAAACGGCCGACGAAAAAUUCAAAGCAAUUUUUACGUUACUUUACGGUGUAAAUGAGAAGGUUGAUUUAUUUUCAACCUACAAUACCGAAGAGCUUUUUGAAUGUCGAAUUUUAAGUGUCGACGAAAACUUCAGAGGUAGAGGCUUGGCAUCUACCUUGAUGACUGAUAGUAUGGAAACAGCGAAGCAAGCCGGAUUUAAGGCACUCACAAACGACCAAGUACGAAGUAGACACCGCACAAAAUUUAAAAUCAACAUCCAAACAGAGAGCAGAAUUGCUGUGGGGUUAUAUAGUUUGGAGCUCUCUUUUGUGGCGAGAGAGAAGAGCAACCGUUCGCCACCUGGUGGUUGUCCGUAGAACCUCGACUUACACGCAUGGAUAUUCGUAAACAUCAAAUGGAUAUCUAUCACCGGCUUUAAUCUAAUCGUACAGAGGAUUUCUGUAGAGAUCUCUCUAUUAGAGAUCCACUAUGGAUAUGGACCUCUAAUAGAUAGAGUGUUCCGUGUGGAUAUAGGCACUGCACAGGCCUUAAAGCUGAAUUGGUAACCGUAUUAAAACUGAACACCAUUCUAUCACAUCGCGAGUACAUCACUCAUGCAUGCGAAGUUCCGUUCGUUUGCAUGGAUGGUUUUGUU
RNAcentral lists this unclassified non-coding RNA (1000 nucleotides) under Neodiprion pinetum (white pine sawfly). RNAcentral's name for it is "arylalkylamine N-acetyltransferase 1, transcript variant X2". Lineage: Eukaryota; Metazoa; Arthropoda; Insecta; Hymenoptera; Diprionidae. The record is from RNAcentral.